Molecule: ribosomal RNA, 586 nt
Filed under: uncultured bacterium
Lineage: Bacteria
Description: bacterial SSU rRNA
Rfam family: Bacterial small subunit ribosomal RNA
Source: RNAcentral
CCUACGGGAGGCAGCAGUGGGGAAUUUUGGACAAUGGGCGCAAGCCUGAUCCAGCCAUGCCGCGUGCGGGAAGAAGGCCUUCGGGUUGUAAACCGCUUUUGUCAGGGAAGAAAUCCUUUGGGUUAAUACCUCGGAGGGAUGACGGUACCUGAAGAAUAAGCACCGGCUAACUACGUGCCAGCAGCCGCGGUAAUACGUAGGGUGCGAGCGUUAAUCGGAAUUACUGGGCGUAAAGCGUGCGCAGGCGGUUAUGCAAGACAGAUGUGAAAUCCCCGGGCUCAACCUGGGAACUGCAUUUGUGACUGCAUAGCUAGAGUACGGUAGAGGGGGAUGGAAUUCCGCGUGUAGCAGUGAAAUGCGUAGAUAUGCGGAGGAACACCGAUGGCGAAGGCAAUCCCCUGGACCUGUACUGACGCUCAUGCACGAAAGCGUGGGGAGCAAACAGGAUUAGAUACCCUGGUAGUCCACGCCCUAAACGAUGUCAACUGGUUGUUGGACGGCUUGCUGUUCAGUAACGAAGCUAACGCGUGAAGUUGACCGCCUGGGGAGUACGGCCGCAAGGUUGAAACUCGAAAUGAAUUGACGG